This 253-nucleotide ribosomal RNA is filed under the name uncultured bacterium. RNAcentral describes it as "partial 16S ribosomal RNA". It matches the Rfam family "Bacterial small subunit ribosomal RNA", at positions 524 to 776 of the family's 1533-position model. The record is from RNAcentral.
UACGUAGGGUGCGAGCGUUAAUCGGAAUUACUGGGCGUAAAGCGUGCGCAGGCGGCGGCUCAAGUCAGGUGUGAAAUCCCCGGGCUUAACCUGGGAAUUGCGCUUGAAACUAGGUUGCUAGAGUGUGGCAGAGGGGGGUGGAAUUCCACGUGUAGCAGUGAAAUGCGUAGAGAUGUGGAGGAACACCGGUGGCGAAGGCGGCAUCCUGGACCGGCAUUGACGCUGAGGCGCGAAAGCCAGGGGAGCAAACGGG